UGCCAGGAGAGGGAUUCGAACCCUCGUCGCACACUGCGAAUCAGAGGUGCCGGGUCGGUGGCAUCCCUCACACAUCCCAGUCAUUUCACUUUACUACAUAUACACACACAUUAUCUACACACCAAUCGCUACAAUUUCUGUUCUCUUUGGACGGACAGGGGUCGGGCGUCGGGGGGAUGGGAGAGAGACACCAGCGAUGAAUGCGACUCUGAUGCCAUGACCACUCGGCCACCCCGGU
Araneus ventricosus is the source of this 238-nucleotide non-coding RNA. The record is from the annotation of a GenBank genome assembly. NCBI's taxonomy places the organism in Eukaryota, Metazoa, Arthropoda, Arachnida, Araneae, Araneidae.